AGCAGCCUUGUCAAAUUCAGUACUGUCCUUGUCUGUGGUCGGUACUGGCCCAGCUGGCUGCCACAGCAACAUCUGUAGUUCAUGGGCCCCAUUUCUCUAUUACUGGACCCUGGGGAUAAAAGAAUGCUACAGACACCU
This is a small nucleolar RNA of Chrysemys picta bellii (western painted turtle), 138 nucleotides long. The record is from Ensembl. Lineage: Eukaryota; Metazoa; Chordata; Testudines; Emydidae.